UAAUACGAGGGGGGCAAAUGUUGUUCGGAAUCACUGGGCGUAAAGGGAGCGUAGGCGGGCUUCUAAGUUGGAUGUUUAACCCCGGGGCCCAACCCCGGAUCGGCAUCCAAAACUGGAAGUCUUGAAUAGUGGAGAGGACGGCGGAAUUGGGGGUGUAGCGGUGGAAUGCGUAGAGAUCCCCAAGAACACCAGUUGCGAAGGCGGCCGUCUGGACACAUAUUGACGCUGAGGCUCGAAAGCAUGGGGAGCAAACAGG
RNAcentral lists this ribosomal RNA (256 nucleotides) under uncultured bacterium. Its description in RNAcentral is "partial 16S ribosomal RNA". It matches the Rfam family "Bacterial small subunit ribosomal RNA", at positions 521 to 776 of the family's 1533-position model. The record is from RNAcentral.